RNAcentral lists this transfer RNA (65 nucleotides) under Pseudomonas sp. NFACC49-2. RNAcentral describes it as "tRNA_Met_CAT". It matches the Rfam family "tRNA", at positions 10 to 71 of the family's 71-position model. From Rfam's summary of the family: Transfer RNA (tRNA) molecules are approximately 80 nucleotides in length. Their secondary structure includes four short double-helical elements and three loops (D, anti-codon, and T loops). The record is from RNAcentral. Lineage: Bacteria; Pseudomonadati; Pseudomonadota; Gammaproteobacteria; Pseudomonadales; Pseudomonadaceae.
GAGCAGCCUGGUAGCUCGUCGGGCUCAUAACCCGAAGGUCGUCGGUUCAAAUCCGGCUCCCGCAA